Molecule: transfer RNA, 72 nt
Filed under: Brevundimonas vesicularis
Lineage: Bacteria; Pseudomonadati; Pseudomonadota; Alphaproteobacteria; Caulobacterales; Caulobacteraceae
Also listed under: 2 other names
Description: tRNA-Arg
Source: RNAcentral
GCAGAAAAUCGGGCAUAUUUUCCCAGACUACGAAUCUGAGGGUCGGGCGUUCGAAUCGCUCCGGGUGCGCCA